GAUGAACGCUGGCGGCGUGCUUAACACAUGCAAGUCGAGCGAUGAAGUUUCCUUCGGGAAACGGAUUAGCGGCGGACGGGUGAGUAACACGUGGGUAACCUGCCUCGUAGAGUGGAAUAGCCUUUCGAAAGGAAGAUUAAUACCGCAUAAUGUUGAAAGAUGGCAUCAUCAUUUGACCAAAGGAGCAAUCCGCUAUGAGAUGGACCCGCGGCGCAUUAGCUAGUUGGUGGGGUAACGGCCUACCAAGGCGACGAUGCGUAGCCGACCUGAGAGGGUGAUCGGCCACAUUGGGACUGAGACACGGCCCAGACUCCUACGGGAGGCAGCAGUGGGGAAUAUUGCACAAUGGGGGAAACCCUGAUGCAGCAACGCCGCGUGAGUGAUGAAGGUUUUCGGAUCGUAAAGCUCUGUCUUUGGGGAAGAUAAUGACGGUACCCAAGGAGGAAGCCACGGCUAACUACGUGCCAGCCGCCGCCGUAA
RNAcentral lists this ribosomal RNA (480 nucleotides) under uncultured bacterium. RNAcentral's name for it is "partial 16S ribosomal RNA". It matches the Rfam family "Bacterial small subunit ribosomal RNA", at positions 28 to 523 of the family's 1533-position model. The record is from RNAcentral.